This 980-nucleotide long non-coding RNA is filed under the name Rattus norvegicus (Norway rat). RNAcentral describes it as "long non-coding RNA NONRATT025981". Lineage: Eukaryota; Metazoa; Chordata; Mammalia; Rodentia; Muridae. The record is from RNAcentral.
GACCCUUCAACCUGCUCUCUCAGGAGCAUAUGUGAACUGUCUUUGUGCUUCAGAGAAAGUGAGUUUGAGUCUUGCAAGAUUCUCAGACUUAACUUCCAGGAGGAAACUGGACACCACCCUCCCAUGGGUUUGCUGUGCCUCUGGCAUCCAGGGUCUUCAGUUUCCCAUGCUGGGCUCUUUGGGGUUCAUGUGUUGUGUUGCUUGUGACCCUGUCUGUGAAGCGUGCUCUGGAGUGACAGAACCUCGAAAAUGUGGGAAGGACUUUAACACUCAUCUGAAGCAGAUUCUCCGAGCUGUCUACCAGACAUCCCUCCUUCAACUUCCCCAGGCAGGGGACCUAGCCUCUGCCUGAAUGCUUCUGGAGACGGAAACUUAUUCCCUACAGGAAAUGAAGCUUCUCAGAGAAACUGCCGAAAGUUGCAUUAAAAAAAAAAAUUACAGAUGAAAUAGCUGUCACUGUCUGGGACAGUGCCGAAACCAGGUGGUCAAACGGGUAACAGAAAUACUGUCUUCUGAGAAAUGGCACAGAAGCCGGCAGGCAUCUUUAAGGGCUAUGCCUAGGCAGACUACUAACAUUGUGAGAAUGCCGUGUAUACCUCACGUACUGUGUGCUUUAUAUUUGUACAUUUUACCUUUUAUACAUAUGUCCGAUUGUCGUCAUUGGGCUCUGAGGCUUGUUUUGUCGUCUGUGUCUGUCUGAGGAACCUGUGUGUCCAGAGCCACGCGAAAUGUGAAUGACUGUUGGCAAUAUAAUCUUGAGAGGAUGGUGGGACUUGGGGAGGAGCAGGGCCAGGCCUCUGUUGGUAUUGCCCUGCUCCUGUAUCUAUGAUACAUUCCCUGGCUGAGGACUUGGAGUUGACCUGGGCAUUCGCCAGGACAGCUGGAAACACUAGGUCUCCUUUGCGUGUGUGGAAAGGUAAGAAUGGCACAUUGUUGCUAACUUGUAGAGAACUUUUAAUAAAUAUGUUUUCAUAAAGAAA